Anas platyrhynchos (mallard) is the source of this 3582-nucleotide non-coding RNA. NCBI's taxonomy places the organism in Eukaryota, Metazoa, Chordata, Aves, Anseriformes, Anatidae. The record is from RefSeq and is a predicted model, not a curated record.
GGACUGCUCGGGGUUAGGCUGGGCAUCGGUCAGCGAGUGAAGACGCUAUAGGAGAGCUGCCAUUGCCAAGUGUAUGUUCACACUGAUUUAGAUGGGAAGUCUUUAGAUGCCAUCAGUACCCUGGCAAAGCUUUCUGGUGUUUCUGGAGGAUCCUCAUCAUAAUGACAGGAAAAUAAGCCAGAACAAUUUAAGAAAGCUCUACAUGCAACUGUUCACAAAUCUGGGAAGAUCUCCAGCAACAUUUUAAUAGACCUGACUGUUUGCAAUACGGUUGAGGAUUGUGCUGGACUAAGCUGAAGAUACGCAUCUUCAUAUUUCGUGAAUGAUACACUCUAUCAGAACAGUAGCAGUUACAUCUUUUGUGGUUACACCUACAGUUUACACCUUUUGCAUAAGGUGUCAGGCAGAGGAAAUUUAAACAUUUUACAAAAUAUGUUUCUGAAUGUAUUGAGAAGAAAAAGUUAUUAUAUGCAUUCAUUCAGAUAUAAGCAGGCAAGCAAUGAGGCUAUGAGAAAGUUUUAGAGCAAAGAUGAGAAACUAGACUCAGUGAAAUGGAUUCCAUUUUGAGUUAUGUUGUGACAGUUACAGGCAGAAAUCUAAGUGUGUUGAUUGGGCCACAAACCAAACAAGAUAUGCUAUUUUUUACUGACAUCUAUUUUGAAUAUGAAAAUUGAGUGCACAGUGAAGCAGAAUGGAGCAACAGAGUAGGUGAGAACUGCAACUGUUAUAAAACAAGAAUUUGAUGUACACAAAUAUUCACAUACUCUCUGAACUCUUUCACCUGACCUAAUGCUAAUAUGAAGCAUAAAAAAUAGAAAUUAUUGGAGCUAAAAUGGGGCAGAUCAUGUAGUUUAAUGUCGUAAUUCAAAUGCACUAUAAUGCAUGUUCUUAAUCUGAAACUCUUGACAGAGUUUACCUGUUCCAGUCAUGACAAAUGAUGUAUAUCUGCAUCAGUGGCUCAAUCAUUACAUAUACUGAUGGCAUGGAGACAUCCAACACAUAAACAGACACUCAAAUCUUUCCACUUAAAUAAUAGCACUAUCCAUCAUUAUAAUAUCACUCACAAAAUUGCAGUGCUCAGCAUUACCCAGCAGUUUCAUUUGUGUCCAUCACUUUGAUAAUUCAUAAUUAUAAUACUAAAAUAGAUGCUCAUGAGUGCUUUGAUACCUCACUAGAGUUAAGAUGUAGAGAAAGCUGCUCCAUAUAUAUCCUGUCUAAAAUUUGGUAUAUACUGUACAGUGUUGCUAGAAUGAAAUGAAAGACAUGUAAAAUCAUCAAUCAAUGUCUUGCUCCAGCCAUUUGAUUGGUUGGAAGUAACCAUCCGAUUUUUUUCAGCAGAACAAAAUUAGGGUGUGGAAGUACAGCUUUCAUCAUAUUUCAAAUAUUUAUUCAACACAUUCUCUAAAGAUAUAACUGUUGAAUUAUAAAGAUUAUGGCACACAAGAUGUCUUCAUUCUUCAAGAAACUUAAAUUAAAUGAAAUGGUCAAAAUACAAAUUCAGAUGAAAUGAAAUGAUAAAAAUGCUGUCAUCAAAGGAUGUGACCAAAGAAGCAAAAUCAAAUUCUGGUAAUAUUUUUAAAAGAACCUUAAAACAGUUUUCACUCAUGCACAAAUAAACACUUCAAUGUGAAAAGGACAUUCAUUUUUACCAGUGAACGAUACUAAUAGUCAGAUUCCAAGCUCUAAAACUAUGGAUGUUUGAAAAAGGUGGUUUUGAAUUAGGCUUUCCUCAGAGUUAUGGUCAUGAAUUAAAUUUAAUUAUACUACUCACAGAGAAUAAUCUCACAUAAAUUACAAAAGUCUUCCCAAGAAUAUCAACAUUAUUUACAUACAACCAUGUAACAUCAGGUAUUCUAGUAUGAAUAUUUUUCACCUGGAUUUAAGAAAAUCUUUAUAAAAACAAUGCUGAUAUAAAAUCUCUACCUGACACUGCCAGAAACUGGUUUACACUACAGGUUUCUACUGGCUUCAAGAACAGACAAGACAUUAGUAUCAGUAAUUCAACAUUUAUUAUCAUCAAAGUAAUGACAAAAAAAAAAAAGUUCUUACAUAAUGAGCACAAUGGCUUUGAAACACAACAAUUGCUCUCCAGGUAAGAAUGCCAUGUCUCCCCGUUGUGAUGAGGAGCUGGAAUAUACCAUUUCCAAGUGUACAAACACCUAUUUUCAUCUAUGGUCAGGAAAACUACUGUAUCCUAAGUCCAUUAUUGUUACGGAAAUGAAUACAGCUUAGCACAGUCACAGAUUUUUUUAUCACCAAUAUGAAGGAGAACAUUGAAGUUUUGGAAAGGUCAAAAAGAUACAUUUAUUCCAUUUUUUUUGGUUGUUGUUUUGUUUUGUUUUGUGUUUGUUUUCUUUGUCAAAACUAUAAAUUGGGGUAGAUACUUAAUAUAUUUUAGAAUUAUCAGUAAAGUUGAUGAACAGCAGCUAAAGAUGAUCAAUUGUUGUUUACAUGCAUGUAAGGGCAAUUUAUCACAUUGCUUAGCUAAAACUGAAAACAUUUUGAUUACCUGAACAUGAACAUACAAUUGGGACAGAGAAUUUCCAGUAUUAGGUAUAUAAUUGUAGACAACAUCAUGUUAAAUGGAUAUCAAUAUUACAACAGUUAUCUUCUCAUCUUGUUCUUCAAGUAUUGCUAAAAAUCCCUAGUUUAUUUAUUGAUUUUGUGAGUCUCCUUUCACAAAUGUGGUCUAAAAGAUUUGUGUCCUAGUAGAAGCUGUCAUUUAUAAAACUUAAAAUGCUGAUCUCUAGAAGAUUGUCUUCAUGGACUUGUCUAAAAGAAAUAGAAACCAACCAAUGAACCAACUAAGCAAGAAUAAAGAACCAACCAACCAACCAACCAACCAAAAAAAGCCAACACCAUAAUUUAAAGGCACAAAUGUAAAAUGUUAAAAUUAAGUAGUUCAUUCCAGAGUGUAACAUGGCUCUCUAAAGCCAAUUUUGUUAUUAAACUAACCUACAUUAAUGAUGUAGUCUUAUAUUAACCUUAUAAUUUUAAGGGAUAGUCAGUUGUUUUACCUUCCUAUUUCUACCAUUUACAAAAAUAAGUACCAAAGUAAAAUGUCAAUUGCUUUUUCAUUGUAUAUCUGAAGAAAACUUUCAGUUCAUUUCAAGCUGUCUAGAACUCAUGUAUAUUUCCUCAAUCUCUGUUUACUUAGAGUUUUCAAUAUGAUGGAUCUACUAGCUUGGUUGUUGCAGAAGCAGUUUUCUCUCAUGUUUAUAUCCAGUGACUAAGAUAAAGCGAGUGACAAUUUAUGGUGGAUGCAAGGUGUUUCAUUAAGAUAAAGUGAGUGACAAUUUAUGGUGGAUGCAAGGUGUUUCAUUCUUCUUCUUAGUAGACACAUCUACAGAAUAUCAUGAUAGUGUCUGAGUGGGCUCAACACACACAAAUCCAUGGGUUCUGAUGGGAUGCAUCCACGUGUGCUAAGGGAGCUGACGGAGGUGAUUGGUGAACCACUCUGUAUCAUCUUUGAAAGGUUCUGGAGAACAGGAAAGGUGCCUGAAGAGUGGAGGAUAGCCAAUGUCACUCUGGUCUUCAAGAAGGGCAAGAAGGAAGAUCUGGGAAACUAUAGGCCAGUCAGUC